CCCCAUAGAUUGGUCAUCUCGUGCCCCGAAGACUCGGAUCUAUGGGGCCCAGCUUUGGGGUCCCAUAAUGAUAAAGGGGGGGGGGUUAUGGGGUCCCAUUGGGGUCCCAUUAUGGGUAUGGGGUCCAUUGGGGUCCCAUUAUGGGUAUGGGGUCCAUUGGGUUCCCAUUAUGGGUGUGGGGUCCCAUUAUGGGUGUGGGGUCCCAUUGGGGUCCCAUUAUGGGUAUGGGGUCCAUUGGGGUCCCAUUAUGGGUAUGGGGUCCAUUGGGGUCCCAUUAUGGGUAUGGGGUCCCAUUGGGGUCCCAUUAUAGGUAUGGGGUCCCAUUGGGGUCCCAUUAUAGGUAUGGGGUCCCAUUGGGGUCCCAUUAUGGGUAUGGGGUCCAUUGGGGUCCCAUUAUGGGUAUGGGGGUCCCAUUGGGGUCCCAUUAUAGGUAUGGGGUCCCAUU
Molecule: long non-coding RNA, 445 nt
Filed under: Coturnix japonica (Japanese quail)
Lineage: Eukaryota; Metazoa; Chordata; Aves; Galliformes; Phasianidae
Description: lncRNA (ENSCJPG00005002592.1)
Source: RNAcentral